This 253-nucleotide ribosomal RNA is filed under the name uncultured bacterium. RNAcentral's name for it is "partial 16S ribosomal RNA". It matches the Rfam family "Bacterial small subunit ribosomal RNA", at positions 524 to 776 of the family's 1533-position model. The record is from RNAcentral.
UACGGAGGGAGCUAGCGUUAUUCGGAAUUACUGGGCGUAAAGCGCACGUAGGCGGCUUUGUAAGUUAGAGGUGAAAGCCUGGGGCUCAACCUCAGAAUUGCCUUUAAGACUGCAUCGCUAGAAUCCAGGAGAGGGGAGUGGAAUUCCGAGUGUAGAGGUGAAAUUCGUAGAUAUACGGAAGAACACCAGUGGCGAAGGCGGCUCACUGGACUGGUAUUGACGCUGAGGUGCGAAAGCGUGGGGAGCAAACAGG